Cyanistes caeruleus (blue tit) is the source of this 891-nucleotide long non-coding RNA. RefSeq lists it as uncharacterized. NCBI's taxonomy places the organism in Eukaryota, Metazoa, Chordata, Aves, Passeriformes, Paridae. The record is from RefSeq and is a predicted model, not a curated record.
AAGGAGGCGCCCUCAGAGCGGGGCCCGCGGGGCCGCCCGCAGCAGCCGCGAUCCGCCGCCCUAAACCCGCGCUCCCGUGGGCUGGUCCCGGCCUGACCCCGUGCUUACAGAUACCCUGCCUAAAGAGACAGUAAGAUCCAGUACCUACUGUGUCUUCAGCUGGGGCAAAGCUUGGACAAAAAUCCUGGAAUGUUCCCUUACAUGUACAAACCAAAUCCAGGAGUGCAUCCUUAGAACACGGAAGGUGAGAUCCAGGAAAGAGAACUGCAAGAGUGGAGAGCUCAUGGACAAGGCAGGGCGAGUGGCAGCCACACAGCCCGGGCUCAAACGCUUCUGCCGCUCGCCUUCCCAGACCACCUCGCUGCGAGGAAGCCGCUGUGCUGAAAGCAGAGACUGAGUUAUGGCUGAGGAACAAAGGAAUUGCUUGACAGGUCUCUGUGCUCUCUCCCAGAGUUUGGAACAGUUUCAGGCAAGUGCUUUUGGCAGGCUGACUAAGCUGUACAUGCAUCUAUCCAUGCAAAUGUAGAAUAUGGCUCCCAAGACCUAGAACCAGGGUGUGUGCAUGUGAAGACUGAAUAGAAGGCCCUUCCAUGGAAGUUUACAAAAAUAUAUAGCCAAUACUGUAGCUUAAGAAGUCAGUUUUACUCAUUACAGAGAACCCCAAAAAGUAUUAACUACUUUUCAGACAUUCCAGACAAGGUCACUUGUAACAAAAAAGGUCAAGUUCUCAAAAACAAGGUUUUAAAAGCGGAUCUUUCCUUCAAGUGAACAGGACAUCUGUUUUUACUCUUAACCAUUUAGUCAGUUAAGACAAUUUAUUUAAGAUUUUAUGUGAACAUAUGCAUAAACACAAAUAAGUUUACUUUAAACACAUCUGCACGGAAAAAAAAA